UACGAACCACACAAACGUUAUUCGGAAUUACUGGGCUUAAAGGGUGCGUAGGCGGCGCGGAAAGUAGGGUGUGAAAUCCCUCGGCUCAACCGAGGAAUUGCGCCCUAAACUACCGUGCUCGAGGGAGAUAGAGGUGAGCGGAACUUAGGGUGGAGCGGUGAAAUGCGUUGAUAUCCUAAGGAACACCGGUGGCGAAAGCGGGUCUCUGGGCCGAAACUGACGCUGAGGAGCGAAAGCGUGGGGAGCAAACAGG
RNAcentral lists this ribosomal RNA (253 nucleotides) under uncultured bacterium. RNAcentral's name for it is "partial 16S ribosomal RNA". It matches the Rfam family "Bacterial small subunit ribosomal RNA", at positions 524 to 776 of the family's 1533-position model. The record is from RNAcentral.